CCUAUAAGAACGCAGACUAAAACCGCCACGUCCUGUGGCAACGUCUGCAUGACCCGCGUCCUGCGGG
This 67-nucleotide small RNA is filed under the name Cytobacillus oceanisediminis. Its description in RNAcentral is "Bacillus oceanisediminis Bacillaceae-1 RNA". It matches the Rfam family "Bacillaceae-1 RNA". The record is from RNAcentral. Lineage: Bacteria; Bacillati; Bacillota; Bacilli; Caryophanales; Bacillaceae.